Symphalangus syndactylus (siamang) is the source of this 439-nucleotide long non-coding RNA. RefSeq lists it as uncharacterized. The record is from RefSeq and is a predicted model, not a curated record. Lineage: Eukaryota; Metazoa; Chordata; Mammalia; Primates; Hylobatidae.
CGCAUGCGCGAGGCGCGAGCUGAUUCUCCCUUCACAGUGGUUCCCACGGUUGUCUUAGAAACCAGUCGCUGAGGCUGGGAAACGCGGGAGUCUUCCAUGGCAGCGCUUGGGUGUCGCGACUCCGAGGCUGCGGCCUGACCUCUGCACGGGGUCCACAGGGCAGAUUGCCCUAGAAUCCUAGAAUCAGCGCUAGGCGACCGUGACUGGCCUUGUCUUCUAGGACAGCUGAGGAGAUGCCAGCACAGGAAGAGAUGAAGUGACUUGCCUUGGAGCCCAGGCACCCAGCUCUGGACGUGCUGCCCUGUCCCCAAGCAACAGUAUCGUGCCCUCUCCUUCCUCCUUAAACCUCUAAAACCUUCGCCAGCCUUACUUACACCUGCUGCCGUGCUUCCUAUUUCAAUUUGAAAAUAGAUGCAAUAAAGAGAGAGCCUUCCCUGGA